GUUUGUUUUUGCUGGCACUUCAUUAUCAAAAGGCUAACUGCUUUACAGCGCCUCCUGCUGCUCCCCCCGGAGGAAACCUGUGCACGUUUGGAUUUCAGCCCUCCGAUUAAAAGGGCAGUUUGCGGAAUAUUAAGGCAUUUCCUCAAGAAUGUUCAGACUUCAGAUAGGAAUCUACUUUCCUCUGCGUCCACAGACGAGUGUAGUGGUUUGGGUGGGAGGCUGUCAGCUUCAGGCAGUCUGGAGGUGUUAGGUGAGCGGAUGGCUUUAGGGGUCCUGGCCACAGCUUCGAGGAGCGUGAGGUGAAUGAACAGAAUGCCUGUGCCCACCAUGUGUGACCACUAAUGAAGACGCUCCCAGACAGGACCCUAUCACCCUGGCAACAAGAUGUCUUCAUAAACAAGCUGCAUGACAUUGGCAGGCCACUUCCUGGUAGUAUAUGGCGACCUGCUUUUUCGCAAAGCCAGAUCACAGGCGUGACUCAGGGGAUGUGAACAAAUUUAGAACCCGAUAAAGAAACGUAAAAAUAAUAUAAUUUCAAUUCACGUUGUUGUCGCUAAAUGUUGAUCAUCUCUAAAAUUACCUUGAGCUUUUCUUAUGUCAACCCUCGUCCUCACCGCCCUCGUGUAAAUGCACCAGAUUAUUUGAACGUGUUUUUAAAAACCGUCUCAUUGUAGUACAGUCAUAAACCUGCCACAUUGCUCUUCCUGCAAGGGGGCUUUAACAUUUUCCCCUCAGCCAGUUUACACUUAGACUUGUCACCUGCCAAACACAAAGUGCUUGACAACAGCGAACCAUGGGAGAUGUGUUUUUGACAAUUUUAACAGAGAAAUCAUAGCAUCUGCUGUGAGGAAAUAUGGUAAUAGAUUUAAAAUGGCCGCAUCGGCUUGUCGUCUUGCCAACACAUUUUGCUUUUAACUUAUACGUGCGAUACAUGCAAAAAUGAAAGAACAAUUUAACUGAUAUCCAUGUUCAAGUGGUAAAUUAAAAAAAAUUUUUUGGGGGGGUUAUCCUUUACAGGCUUUUAAUGUUUGGAGUAUAAGCGACUAGACUUUCCAAAGAGGGAAGUUAAAGGAUAGCUUGUUCAAUCAUUUUUUUCUUGUUCUCAACCAUUUUAUGUGUUUGAAUUAGAACAGUAUUAUUUUUAUAUGAAUACAGUCAUAAUUGAAUUAUCAUAAUCAUCGUGUUUUUCUUUGCCUUUUUUAUUUUGCAAGCUUCUCUGUGAUUUCAAACAUGAAAACGUGGCUUUUGUGAUGGAUCAAGAAUA
Triplophysa rosa is the source of this 1264-nucleotide long non-coding RNA. RefSeq lists it as uncharacterized. The record is from RefSeq and is a predicted model, not a curated record. The transcript has 3 exons. Lineage: Eukaryota; Metazoa; Chordata; Actinopteri; Cypriniformes; Nemacheilidae.